UACGGAGGGGGCUAGCGUUGCUCGGAAUCACUGGGCGUAAAGCGCACGUAGGCGGCUUUUUAAGUCAGGGGUGAAAUCCUGGAGCUCAACUCCAGAACUGCCUCUGAUACUGGCGAUCUCGAGUCCGGGAGAGGUGAGUGGAACUGCGAGUGUAGAGGUGAAAUUCGUAGAUAUUCGCAAGAACACCAGUGGCGAAGGCGGCUCACUGGUCCGGUACUGACGCUGAGGUGCGAAAGCGUGGGGAGCAAACAGG
Molecule: ribosomal RNA, 253 nt
Filed under: uncultured bacterium
Lineage: Bacteria
Description: partial 16S ribosomal RNA
Rfam family: Bacterial small subunit ribosomal RNA
Source: RNAcentral